GAUUGCAGGUUUUGUGGGUACAGCUUUCCAUUCACAGUCAGAGGAACUCCCAGGUUAUUUUUGCCACCACAGCAAAGUAAUUCAAAGUGCUUACAGAAAGUGGGUUGUCACCUUGAACAGGUACAAGGUGAGAAAAAUGGCAACAAUAAUGAAGUGGGCUGAGCUCUAACUGUUUACUGCAGCUUAACAGAUACACAGAGCGCACACAGUGUGCUUCAACAGCACAGGGGAGCACAAUUUAUGACGGGAGUAACUGUUCUGUGUUGAGAAAAACUGUAUUGUAGCAGGUUGUAUCAGCAAAACUGUUUUCUCUGAUAGGAUCUGUUGUAUCCGUGGAAUAGUGAUGAUUUUAAAGCACUGAUGUUGUGCUCAGUGGUAGAAGACAAGUUGCAGCUCAGUAUCAUACUGGUGCAAGAAUAAAUCAAACUGAUAAAGCACUUUCCCCAUGGCUAAAACCUUUUAAAACAUCAUUUUGGUUUGGGAAACAGCCAUGAGCUAUAAUUGCCAUAAUAAUGAAAUAGAGAAAUGGGAAGCAAGGAUCACAUUCCAGGACAUGGCUUAUUUUUCUGAAACAAAGCAAAUAACAAAAAUAACACUUUUUCUUCAGGAAGUUGUCUUCCUAUUGAGUGUGUUGACUGAAUCUGCAUUAUACUAUAGUGAGAAACUCAAAUACUGAUAUACAUUUAAGUAUUCAAGGUGCUGCCAUUUUACAUCAUAAUCUAUAGUUCAUUUGCAGUUCUAUCCCUACAGAAAUUAUUCUGCCAUCUCGUUAUUUUAUUCCUUUUAUGUUGCACUUUAUGAGCAAAGAAUUGUCUCUUCGUUUAGUUCCAGAAAACACCUUGUGUGUUGAGGAAAACAUUUCUCUUUGGUGUUCCUUGGUUUUUCCUUUGCCGUGAAUGUUUAGUGAGUAUCAGCUGUUGGGGGGAGGAAGCCACAAAGACAGUUGCUUUGGUUUUUGAAUGAAAAAACUUUCCCAGUGAUUUUGUUUCCUUCCCGUGACAAUUGGUUUUGUUUCCCCUGGCAAGGUUUUUGUCGUCCUUUGCAGAAGGAGCUUUAGAGGGGACGGUUUGAAAAUACAUCACUAAAGGUCAUUGUGAUUGUGGUUUCAUUUGAAAUAGAAGCUGUGCAGUGUGUACCCUGGCACCUGCAGGACUGGGCAGAACAAGCUUCCUGUGGUGGACCCUACUGAUUCCAUGAGAGGCUGUGAGCCAAAGGUUCUGGUUUUAGGUACAAGAUGUAACUGAAAUAAACCAAGGUUGAGCCCCACACCAUCACUUCAGUGCUGGCAGCUUCCAAGCACAGACAGCUCAACCCUGGCUACUUGCUCAAACUACCCUCGUGUUCGAUUUGGACAGUGCUUUCAACCCUGUGAACAAAGGCAAUGUGUUUACCGGUUAAGAUUUCAAGACAAGUGGUGCCAGCUUUGCUUUAAGAAUAUCCCCAAAAAGCUGAUUGCAAGGAUUGAGGAGAGAAACCGAGAUAAAACAGGAAGACUGAUGCUGAGUGGAAAGUGUCCCAGGGAAGGAGAAUCCUGAACUGCUCAGCUAUACUGCAGAUACACAACAGAUGUUUGUGGUUACAGUCAGUAACUGGAACAUGCAAACUGUUGAGGCUAGAGAUUUUGUAGUGGGAAUAGAUGAUACCACACUGCUAAAAGGGAUUAUGCAAAAGCUGGCCGGAGCAGCAGAACAAAAGCCGCAGCCUAACAGGCGUGCUCACAACUUCGUCAAAAGCCCAAAGCUACAAGCGACCUCUCGAGCCCUGAGGCACCUCAUGCAGCUACAACAUGCUGAAGAUAAACUCUGCUUAUUCCUAAGCAUGUUUUCGAGCAGUUUGUGAAGUGAUUUAAUAUAUUUCCUACAAAGCAGAGAAGAAAUUUCUACGGAAUUCUGUGUAAUCUUGUACUGAAAGGCACCUCAGAAAGGCACCAGGAGAAAACCCCAAUUCUGACUGUCCCUGCAUCCUCCAUUACAGAAACCCUCUGCGCAGCUCCCAACCAGGAGUCAGUAAAUCCCGUAUCUACGCCAGGCGUUACAACAUGAAGUUUGCGGAGCACAACCCGGCCGCGCAUUCCCACUGAUAAUGAAGAAACAAAUUGGAGCUUCUGGAACAAAUCCUAAGCCAGGCUCGGACAUGGGUCUGCCCGCGGAGAGCCCUCCCGUCCUGCUCCGGGAGCGCUUUGUUUUAGGCCUCACACACACACAACGCGCGGGGAGGAAAGUCGGGGAGCUCGGCACAACUCGCCCUUCAAACCUGACAGAACUUGGCUGGGGAGUGUGAAAGAAGAAAUUAAACAGUAGUAAAUACAGGCGGGACAAAAGCCCUUUUCUCGUUGUGUAACGAACGCAAUACUGAUAGAUUACUGCCCGGUUUCCAUGGGGACCUUUUUGUUCUAACUCCAGAUACCGAUGAUUAGGGUUAAA
Pezoporus occidentalis (night parrot) is the source of this 2423-nucleotide long non-coding RNA. RefSeq lists it as uncharacterized. Lineage: Eukaryota; Metazoa; Chordata; Aves; Psittaciformes; Psittacidae. The transcript is spliced from 5 exons. The record is from RefSeq and is a predicted model, not a curated record.